Non-coding RNA from Nelumbo nucifera (sacred lotus), 865 nucleotides. NCBI's taxonomy places the organism in Eukaryota, Viridiplantae, Streptophyta, Magnoliopsida, Proteales, Nelumbonaceae. The record is from RefSeq and is a predicted model, not a curated record.
AAAUAAUUAAUUAAAUAAGUAAAAUGCCACAUGGCAAACAUGCCCCACGUGGGGCAUGCAGAUACAAAAAUAUCCUCCACACCGGCUAAAUUCGCAGUAAUCACUUGGACUURCAAUCUUUUAUACACGAGUAGGAUGCAGCUGGGCAUUCUCUGCAGCGGGAGCUAUCGAAGGAAUUAAUGUCGUCUCCAAGAAUAUGCUGAUGAACGUCUCAACUCAACAACUUAUAGACUGUGUUGAUAAAAAAGCGGGUUGUGAUGGUGGUUGGAUGAUUAAUGCAUUUAAGUGGGUUAAAAAUAACGGAGGGGUGACCAUCGAAGAUCUCUAUCGUUACGUGGGAGAAAAGCGCAAUUGCAAAUCUGUUCCGAACCUCGUACAAAUUAGUUGUUCAAGAUGAAGAGUCCCUCCAAUGUGCCGUUUUUCAGCAACCAGUCAGUGCAGCGAUUAUCACAACGCAAGACUUCUAUAAUUACCCAAGUGGAAUUUUCUAUGGAACGAAUUGCCGACCCUAUAACAUACCUCCAUGCGGUUUUGAUUGUGGGUUACACCCCAGAAUACUGGAUAGUGAAGAACUCAUGGGGAACCACCGGUUGGGGAAAUGGAUGCUACAUAGAUAUUGCGAGAAAUGUGGGAUAUCAAUGCGGAGCAUGUGGAAUCAAUUGCUUUGCUUCGUUCUUAUCCGGUUAAAUAAUCAAUUAAUUAAUGAUCUCUCCAAGGUCCAGUAAUACUCAAGUCUGAAGAUGUCUAGCCUCUGUCGCACUGACACAGUGGGUAAGCCUAAAAAUAGAAGAAAUAAAGCUGGCAACUCCCUUUAUCAGCCAAGGGAAUCUUUUGCUAGCGCUGGGUUUGCAUGAUGUUUGAUUCU